This is a non-coding RNA of Rattus norvegicus (Norway rat), 69 nucleotides long. Lineage: Eukaryota; Metazoa; Chordata; Mammalia; Rodentia; Muridae. The record is from Rfam.
GGGGAUUUAGCUCAGUGGUAGAGCGCUUGCCUAGCAUGCACAAGGUCCUGGGUUCGGUCCCCAGCUCUG